CACGUAGUUAGCCGGGGCUUCUUAAUCAGGUACCGUCAUUUUCUUCCCUGCUGAUAGAGCUUUACAUACCGAAAUACUUCUUCACUCACGCGGCGUCGCUGCAUCAGGGUUUCCCCCAUUGUGCAAUAUUCCCCACUGCUGCCUCCCGCAGGAGUCUGGGCCGUGUCUCAGUCCCAAUGUGGCCGUUCGCCCUCUCAGGCCGGCUACUGAUCGUCGCUUUGGUAGGCCGUUACCCUGCCAACUGGCUAAUCAGACGCGGGUCCAUCUCACACCGAUAAAAUCUUUUCCGUCAGUGCCAUGCGGCACCGGCAGCUUAUGCGGUAUUAGCGGUCGUUUCCAACUGUUAUCCCCCUGUGUGAGGCAGGUUACCCACGCGUUACUCACCCGUCCGCCACUCAGUCACAAGAGACUUCAUCCGAAGAAUCGUUCUCAGGUGCUUCGUUCGACUUGCAUGUGUUAAGCACGCCGCCAGCGUUCAUCCUGAGCCAGGAUA
Molecule: ribosomal RNA, 493 nt
Filed under: uncultured Roseburia sp.
Lineage: Bacteria; Bacillati; Bacillota; Clostridia; Lachnospirales; Lachnospiraceae
Description: partial 16S ribosomal RNA
Source: RNAcentral